This 319-nucleotide ribosomal RNA is filed under the name uncultured bacterium. RNAcentral describes it as "SSU rRNA". It matches the Rfam family "Bacterial small subunit ribosomal RNA", at positions 26 to 372 of the family's 1533-position model. The record is from RNAcentral.
AGGACGAACGCUGGCGGUGUGCUUCACACAUGCAAGUCGAACGGGGUAGCAAUACCCAGUGGCGGACGGGUGAGUAAUACGUGGGAAUCUGCCUAUGAGAGGGGGAUAAUUGACCGAAAGGUUAGCUAAUACCGCAUAAGUAGCAAUAUAAAAGGAGUAAUCCGCUUAUAGAUGAGCCCACGCCCGAUUAGCUAGUUGGUAGGGUAAAGGCCUACCAAGGCGACGAUCGGUAGCUGGUCUGAGAGGAUGAUCAGCCACAAUGGAACUGAGACACGGUCCAUACUCCUACGGGAGGCAGCAGUGGGGAAUUUUACACAAU